UACGUAGGUGGCAAGCGUUGUCCGGAUUUACUGGGCGUAAAGAGCGCGCAGGCGGUCGUUCAAGUCGCGUGUGAAAGCCCCCGGCUCAACUGGGGAGGGUCACGCGAUACUGAUCGACUCGAAGGCAGGAGAGGGUAGUGGAAUUCACGGUGUAGCAGUGAAAUGCGUAGAUAUCGUGAGGAACACCAGAGGCGAAGGCGGCUACCUGGACAAUUGCUGACGCUCAGGCACGAAAGCGUGGGGAGCAAAAGGG
This 253-nucleotide ribosomal RNA is filed under the name uncultured bacterium. RNAcentral's name for it is "partial 16S ribosomal RNA". It matches the Rfam family "Bacterial small subunit ribosomal RNA", at positions 524 to 776 of the family's 1533-position model. The record is from RNAcentral.